GAUGAACGCUGGCGGCGUGCCUAAUACAUGCAAGUCGAGCGAACGGACGAGAAGCUUGCUUCUCUGAUGUUAGCGGCGGACGGGUGAGUAACACGUGGAUAACCUACCUAUAAGACUGGGAUAACUUCGGGAAACCGGAGCUAAUACCGGAUAAUAUUUUGAACCGCAUGGUUCAAAAGUGAAAGACGGUCUUGCUGUCACUUAUAGAUGGAUCCGCGCUGCAUUAGCUAGUUGGUAAGGUAACGGCUUACCAAGGCAACGAGGCAUAGCCGACCUGAGAGGGGGAUCGGCCACACUGGAACUGAGACACGGUCCAGACGCCUACGGGAGGCAGCAGUAGGGAAUCUUGCGCAAUGGGCGAAAGCCUGACGGAGCAACGCCGCGUGAGUGAUGAAGGUCUUCGGAUCGUAAAACUCUGUUAUUAGGGAAGAACAUAUGGGUAAGUAACUGUGCACAUCUUGACGGUACCUAAUCAGAAAGCCACGGCUAACUACGUG
This 497-nucleotide ribosomal RNA is filed under the name uncultured bacterium. Its description in RNAcentral is "partial 16S ribosomal RNA". It matches the Rfam family "Bacterial small subunit ribosomal RNA", at positions 28 to 507 of the family's 1533-position model. The record is from RNAcentral.